Molecule: long non-coding RNA, 395 nt
Filed under: Chinchilla lanigera (long-tailed chinchilla)
Lineage: Eukaryota; Metazoa; Chordata; Mammalia; Rodentia; Chinchillidae
Description: lncRNA (ENSCLAG00000022982.1)
Source: RNAcentral
AUGUUAAAAAGAGUAUUAAUCCCGGUUUCUCACCACCAGUCCUUACUUCAUCCUCUGUUGCCAGGGAGCUUUAAAAACCAGACAAAAGAAGAAACAAAAACUAAAACCAAACCUUGAAGAUAAAUAUUUUCCUAUCACCUGCAUUCAAGUCUGCGUCGGUGAGGGAAUCUACAGAAAGUCCAAGGAAUGCGUAAUAAAGUUAGAAGGUAUACUUGCCAAUACAUCAACAAUUCAUUUUUAAAAUAAGAAAUUUUCAAUUGCAAGAAUUAUCUUCAAUUUUAUAAAUCAUCUUUAAUUUUUUAAAAAAUUGAGAUUAUGGAAAUAUAAUCUCUAGCACUGAACUACAUCUCCAGCCCUCUACUUGUCUUCUUCAUAAGACCUGGAAUGAAGACCCA